This 384-nucleotide ribosomal RNA is filed under the name uncultured bacterium. Its description in RNAcentral is "bacterial SSU rRNA". It matches the Rfam family "Bacterial small subunit ribosomal RNA", at positions 29 to 431 of the family's 1533-position model. The record is from RNAcentral.
AGCGAACGCUAGCGGCGGGCCUAACACAUGCAAGUCGAGCGGGGGAGCAAUCCCCAGCGGCGGACGGGUGAGUAACACGUAGGUUAUGUGCCCUUUGGUGGGGAAUAACCGUGGGAAACCAUGGCUAAUUCCGCAUAUCGAGCGAAAAUCUUGAAAGCCUUCGGGCGCCAAAAGGAGCAAACCUGCGGCCCAUUAGCUUGUUGGUAGGGUAACGGCCUACCAAGGCGAUGAUGGGUAGCUGGUCUGAGAGGAUGAUCAGCCACACUGGAACUGAGACACGGUCCAGACUCCUACGGGAGGCAGCAGUGGGGAAUAUUGCGCAAAUGGGCGAAAAGCCUGACGCAGCCACGCCGCGUGAGUGAUGAAGGCCUUCGGUCGGUAAAC